RNAcentral lists this ribosomal RNA (164 nucleotides) under uncultured bacterium. Its description in RNAcentral is "partial 16S rRNA". It matches the Rfam family "Bacterial small subunit ribosomal RNA", at positions 355 to 511 of the family's 1533-position model. The record is from RNAcentral.
UAGGGAAUCUUCCACAAUGGGCGAAAGCCUGAUGGAGCAACGCCGCGUGUGUGAUGAAGGGUUUCGGCUCGUAAAACACUGUUGUAAGAGAAGAAUGACAUUGAGAGUAACUGUUCAGGUAUUGACGGUAUUUAACCAGAAAGCCACGGCUAACUACGUGCCAA